UGGGUUGUGGCUCAGUGGUAGAGUACUCACCUAGCAUGUGCAAGGCCCUGGGUUCAAUCCUCAGCAUCACAU
This 72-nucleotide transfer RNA is filed under the name Marmota marmota marmota (Alpine marmot). It matches the Rfam family "tRNA". Rfam says of the family: Transfer RNA (tRNA) molecules are approximately 80 nucleotides in length. Their secondary structure includes four short double-helical elements and three loops (D, anti-codon, and T loops). The record is from Rfam by way of RNAcentral. Lineage: Eukaryota; Metazoa; Chordata; Mammalia; Rodentia; Sciuridae. RNAcentral also lists the same sequence under 1 other name.